UAGGGAAUUUUCGUCAAUGGGGGGAACCCUGAACGAGCAAUGUCGCGUGUGUGAAGAAGGUCUUCGGAUCGUAAAGCACUGUUGUAAGUGAAGAAUGCCAUAUAGAGGAAAUGCUAUGUGGGUGACGGUAGCUUACCAGAAAGCCACGGCUAACUACGUGCCAGCAGCCGCGGUAAUACGUAGGUGGCAAGCGUUAUCCGGAAUCAUUGGGCGUAAAGGGUGCGUAGGUGGCACGAUAAGUCUGAAGUAAAAGGCAACAGCUCAACUGUUGUAUGCUUUGGAAACUGUCGAGCUAGAGUGCAGAAGAGGGCGAUGGAAUUCCAUGUGUAGCAGUAAAAUGCGUAGAUAUAUGGAGGAACACCAGUGGCAAAGGCGGUCGCCUGGUCUGUAACUGACACUGAUGCACGAAAGCGUGGGGAGCAAAUAGGAUUAGAUACC
RNAcentral lists this ribosomal RNA (438 nucleotides) under uncultured bacterium. Its description in RNAcentral is "bacterial SSU rRNA". It matches the Rfam family "Bacterial small subunit ribosomal RNA", at positions 355 to 786 of the family's 1533-position model. The record is from RNAcentral.